AGCGGCGGACGGGUGAGUAACACGUGGGUAACCUGCCCAAGAGACUGGGAUAACACCUGGAAACAGAUGCUAAUACCGGAUAACAACACUAGACGCAUGUCUAGAGUUUGAAAGAUGGUUCUGCUAUCACUCUUGGAUGGACCUGCGGUGCAUUAGCUAGUUGGUAAGGUAACGGCUUACCAAGGCAAUGAUGCAUAGCCAAGUUGAGAGACUGAUCGGCCACAUUGGGACUGAGACACGGCCCAAACUCCUACGGGAGGCAGCAGUAGGGAAUCUUCCACAAUGGACGAAAGUCUGAUGGAGCAACGCCGCGUGAGUGAAGAAGGGUUUCGGCUCGUAAAGCUCUGUUGGUAGUGAAGAAAGAUAGAGGUAGUAACUGGCCUUUAUUUGACGGUAAUUACUUAGAAAGUCACGGCUAACUACGUGCCAGCAGCCGCGGUAAUACGUAGGUGGCAAGCGUUGUCCGGAUUUAUUGGGCGUAAAGCGAGUGCAGGCGGUUCAAUAAGUCUGAUGUGAAAGCCUUCGGCUCAACCGGAGAAUUGCAUUAGAAACUGUUGAACUUGAGUGCAGAAGAGGAGAGUGGAACUCCAUGUGUAGCGGUGGAAUGCGUAGAUAUAUGGAAGAACACCAGUGGCGAAGGCGGCUCUCUGGUCUGCAACUGACGCUGAGGCUCGAAAGCAUGGGUAGCGAACAGGAUUAGAUACCCUGGUAGUCCAUGCCGUAAACGAUGAGUGCUAAGUGU
This 742-nucleotide ribosomal RNA is filed under the name uncultured bacterium. RNAcentral describes it as "bacterial SSU rRNA". It matches the Rfam family "Bacterial small subunit ribosomal RNA", at positions 94 to 823 of the family's 1533-position model. The record is from RNAcentral.